Molecule: non-coding RNA, 65 nt
Organism: Dipodomys ordii (Ord's kangaroo rat)
Lineage: Eukaryota; Metazoa; Chordata; Mammalia; Rodentia; Heteromyidae
Source: Rfam
GGUGGCUCAGUGGUAGAGUGCUUGCCUUGCAUGCAUAAGGCCCUAGGUUCAAUUCCUCAGCACCA